GCGUCAUCGUAGGAGACUGCGGAGGAUCAUUACCGAAUUGUCAGGCCGGGAUGUGGGGGGUCUCCAGCUGGGGUUACCUGCUUUUUUUGUUUGGCCAUGCCUCCUCCUUUCGGCCUCCACCCUCUGUAGCUCUAUGGUCUGGGGGACUAUAUCUUCCUUCUGUAAUCCUGUCUCUUUACACAUGGUCCAUAUCAAAAUCUUAUGGAAUGUUUGCCUCAACUAUGCCAAAACCUACAACUUUCAUAAUUGAUCUCUUGGCUCUCGCAUCACUCAACAAAGCCCCAAAAUGCCACAAGGAAUGCCAAUUGCCAAUUUCAGAGAUUCAUCGAAUCUUUUAACGCACCUUACGCCCCUUGGCUAUUACGAGGGGCGUCCUUGUUGGAUUAUCGGCAGGAACUCAACUCUCGUGGUUUGCCACCAUGAACUUGGACUCCAACCGUUUUACUGGACUUCCCGGUCACCUCCUCUCAAAUCAAUCAACUGGUCGGUAUCUGGUGGCGUCAUGGGUGCGAUAACUAUCUACCCCAUACAGACGUCCACUGGGCAACCUCCUGUGAUGGAAGUAUGCUGGGGCUCACAAACCUCUCUCUUCAGUGGGGGACAUCUUUUUCAACUUGCGAUCUCCGAUCAAGUGCGACUCCCCGCUGAACUUGACCACAUCACUAAGCGGAGGAAUUCAA
This 680-nucleotide ribosomal RNA is filed under the name Thelephora sp. 1 SS-2016. Its description in RNAcentral is "eukaryotic LSU rRNA". The stretch from base 236 to 389 matches the Rfam family "5.8S ribosomal RNA". The record is from RNAcentral. Lineage: Eukaryota; Fungi; Basidiomycota; Agaricomycetes; Thelephorales; Thelephoraceae.